Molecule: non-coding RNA, 73 nt
Organism: Parapedobacter luteus
Lineage: Bacteria; Pseudomonadati; Bacteroidota; Sphingobacteriia; Sphingobacteriales; Sphingobacteriaceae
Source: Rfam
GCGAAAGUAGCUCAGUUGGUAGAGCGCAACCUUGCCAAGGUUGAGGUCGCGAGUUCGAACCUCGUCUUUCGCU